RNAcentral lists this ribosomal RNA (353 nucleotides) under uncultured bacterium. RNAcentral's name for it is "bacterial SSU rRNA". It matches the Rfam family "Bacterial small subunit ribosomal RNA", at positions 1045 to 1397 of the family's 1533-position model. The record is from RNAcentral.
AUGGCUGUCGUCAGCUCGUGUCGUGAGAUGUUGGGUUAGGUCCCGCAACGAGCGCAACCCUUGAUAAUAGUUGCCAGCAAGUAGUGUUGGGCACUCUAUUGUGACUGCCGUAGAUAAUACGGAGGAAGGUGGGGAUGACGUCAAAUCAUCAUGCCCUAUAUGACCUGGGCUACACACGUGCUACAAUGGGGUGAACAACGGGAAGCAAGCCAGCGAUGGUAAGCGGACCCCUAAAAACACCUCUCAGUUCAGAUUGCAGGCUGCAACCCGCCUGCAUGAAGUCGGAAUUGCUAGUAAUCGCGGAUCAGCAAGCCGCGGUGAAUACGUUCCCGGGCCUUGUACACACCGCCCGU